GGGAGUAAAAGUCGUAACAAGGUUUCCGUAGGUGAACCUGCGGAAGGAUCAUUAUCGAAAUACUUAUUUAGCGUUCCGUGCUAUCCCAUUGUUUUAUUUACCCUGUUGCUUCCACUGGAUGAGUUUCCAUACCUUGUGUUUGAGAAACUUUGGCUUGUGUAAGAUUCAUUCACGGCCAGCCAGUGAGAAGACCAUUUACAAAACCCUGUUAAGAACCAAUUGUCUGAAUAUUUUACUCCAAUGAAAUAAAACUUUCAACAACGGAUCUCUAGGCUCUU
This 278-nucleotide unclassified non-coding RNA is filed under the name plant metagenome. Its description in RNAcentral is "partial contains small subunit ribosomal RNA and internal transcribed spacer 1". The stretch from base 1 to 54 matches the Rfam family "Eukaryotic small subunit ribosomal RNA", at positions 1778 to 1831 of the family's 1831-position model. The record is from RNAcentral.